Molecule: ribosomal RNA, 487 nt
Filed under: uncultured bacterium
Lineage: Bacteria
Description: bacterial SSU rRNA
Rfam family: Bacterial small subunit ribosomal RNA
Source: RNAcentral
CUACGUGCCAGCAGCCGCGGUAAUACGUAGGUGGCAAGCGUUGUCCGGAAUUAUUGGGCGUAAAGCGCGCGUAGGCGGAUAGGUCAGUCUGUCUUAAAAGUUCGGGGCUUAACCCCGUGAUGGGAUGGAAACUGCCAAUCUAGAGUAUCGGAGAGGAAAGUGGAAUUCCUAGUGUAGCGGUGAAAUGCGUAGAUAUUAGGAAGAACACCAGUGGCGAAGGCGACUUUCUGGACGAAAACUGACGCUGAGGCGCGAAAGCCAGGGGAGCGAACGGGAUUAGAUACCCCGGUAGUCCUGGCCGUAAACGAUGGGUACUAGGUGUAGGAGGUAUCGACCCCUUCUGUGCCGGAGUUAACGCAAUAAGUACCCCGCCUGGGGAGUACGACCGCAAGGUUGAAACUCAAAGGAAUUGACGGGGGCCCGCACAAGCGGUGGAGUAUGUGGUUUAAUUCGACGCAACGCGAAGAACCUUACCAGGUCUUGACAU